RNAcentral lists this transfer RNA (85 nucleotides) under marine eukaryotic metagenome. It matches the Rfam family "tRNA". Rfam says of the family: Transfer RNA (tRNA) molecules are approximately 80 nucleotides in length. The record is from RNAcentral.
GAGAGGUGGCUGAGUGGUUGAAGGCGCACGCCUGGAAAGCGUGAUUACUCGCAAGGGUAACGAGGGUUCGAAUCCCUCCCUCUCC